GAUGAACGCUGGCGGCGUGCCUAAUACAUGCAAGUCGAGCGAACAGACGAGGAGCUUGCUCCUCUGACGUUAGCGGCGGACGGGUGAGUAACACGUGGAUAACCUACCUAUAAGACUGGGAUAACUUCGGGAAACGGGAGCUAAUACCGGAUAAUAUAUUGAACCGCAUGGUUCAAUAGAGAAAGACGGUUUUGCUGUCACUUAUAGAUGGAUCCGCGCCGCAUUAGCUAGUUGGUAAGGUAACGGCUUACCAAGGCGACGAUGCGUAGCCGACCUGAGAGGGUGAUCGGCCACACUGGAACUGAGACACGGUCCAGACUCCUACGGGAGGCAGCAGUAGGGAAUCUUCCGCAAUGGGCGAAAGCCUGACGGAGCAACGCCGCGUGAGUGAUGAAGGUCUUCGGAUCGUAAAACUCUGUUAUUAGGGAAGAACAAAUGUGUAAGUAACUAUGCACGUCUUGACGGUACCUAAUCAGAAAGCCACGGCUAACUACGUG
RNAcentral lists this ribosomal RNA (497 nucleotides) under uncultured bacterium. RNAcentral describes it as "partial 16S ribosomal RNA". It matches the Rfam family "Bacterial small subunit ribosomal RNA", at positions 28 to 507 of the family's 1533-position model. The record is from RNAcentral.